ACAACAUUCGGACCGUCGGUCUACCGAGCAAUAUCACCCGUUCGGUGGAAGAUCUUCUCUCCGUGGU
RNAcentral lists this microRNA precursor (67 nucleotides) under Bombyx mori (domestic silkworm). RNAcentral's name for it is "mir-2774 microRNA precursor family". It matches the Rfam family "mir-2774 microRNA precursor family". The record is from Rfam by way of RNAcentral. Lineage: Eukaryota; Metazoa; Arthropoda; Insecta; Lepidoptera; Bombycidae.